AGGUAUUCAUUAAGGCUGUCUUACAAGCCAUAUCGACAUAUUCUAUGUCUUUCUUUUUACUCCCAAAAUCACUAUGCAAUGAAAUGGAGGGCAUUGUUGCAAAAUAUUGGUGGAAAAAAGGUCGUGGAAAGGGGGAAUUCACUGGUGUAUUUGGAAAAAUCUUUUCAUUUUGAAAGAAAACGGAGGUUUGGGAUUUCGAAAUCUUAGCCAGUUCAACAUUGCGUUGUUAGCCAAACAGGGCUGGCAUCUUUUUAAUUACCCAAAGUCUCUUUUAGCCAGAGUUCUUUAAAGAAAAAUAUUAUCUGCGCUCAAACUUUCUAAAUGCAUAGUUGGGAAACUCAUCUUCUCUUACUUAGAAGAGCAUUUGGGCAACGAAGGGCCUCCUUCUCAAAGGACUAAGCUGGAGAGUUGGUAGGGGAAAUGCAAACUCAAUUUGGAAUGACCGAUGGAUACCAGGGAUCGAGCCUGAGAUAUUGCAGAACAGAGGAGACAAUGGCUAGCUGGAAUUAGUAUUUGAUAUAAUCGACAGUACAAAUAAAACGUGGAAAACGGAGUUAAUUACAACUACCUUUCAAAUGGAUAUUGCUCAAAGAAUUUUGCAGAUUCCUCUUGGAUAGCAGACUGUGAAGACUUACAAGUGUGGAAAGGUGAACAUUCUGGCGAGUUUUCAGUACGAAGCGCCUACAAACUAUUGCAAGAUGCUAGCUUGGAUCCUAGUAGCUAUUUAGUACAGGCCGAAACUAAAGAUUUCUACAUAAAGUUGUAGAAUUUACAAUUACCAAAAAAAAUUUAAUUCUUAUUUGGCGGAUCUCUUGGAACUAUAUUCCUACGCUAGUUAAUCUUAGAUACAAAAGAGUGACUACAAAUGCUAGUUGUCUUUGUUGCUGCUCCGAGGAAGAAGACAGCUACCACGUGUUUCGGCAAUAUCCUACAAGCAACGAAGUAUGGAAUAGUCUUAAUAUGACUUGGGUAACAGCACACAGAUCAAAAUACAUAGACAUAACUUAUCUGGGUUUUUGGAAGGGGCACCAAAAAGCAGAUCCGAAUGUUCUGCUGCGCUUUAUGGGUUAUUUGGGGCUCGCGAAAUCAAAUGGUUCAUGAAAGGAAAAUCACAUCAGGUAAGGACCUUUUACACAAAAUACAAAGUUACUUAAUGGAACUUGAAGGAGUGAGUGAAAAAAAUCGUACCUUUAAGUCUGCUAAAACUCAAAGACAAUGUGAGGAGUCAAUAAGGGAGACAAUACAGUUCGAUGCAGCUUUUGAUAUUAGAAACUCCAGAUCGACUUCAAGACUAGUUGUUCGAAACCUUAAAGCUUCAAAAUCGAUUCUUCAUUCCAACGUCUUGUCUCCAUUUGUAGCAGAGGCAUUUGCAUGUUUACAAGCAACCAAGUUAGGCAUCGAAAUGGGAUUAGGCUCAGUUACAAUUAUGGGGGACUCGAAAUCAGUUAUUAAAAAAUUCCAAAUGACGGAUCGGGAUAGAUCUAUUAUUGGAGCUAUUAUUAAAGAUAUUCAGAGCAGCAAAUCUAGUUUUCAAGAAAUUGCCUUCAGGUUUAUUCAAAGAUCAGAGAACCUUCAAGACCACAAAACAGCAAAGGAAGCAUUAGAGAAAAGGGAAGAGUUAUACCUGGUGGGAGAGACGUUGAAAUGCAAUGAAACUACUCCAGAAGAAAGAUGGCCACAAAAUUCGGGCUGAAGAUGUGGAAGGUGAAAUGAAACGGAAAAGGUAGCAAAUAAAAAUAGAUAUUUUGGAAACUGCUAUCAUUUGAACAGACUUGAUGUUCUGACAUGAAAAGGCAAAAAUGAUAAUGGCGUCCAGGCUAUUGAGUUGGCUGGGAAAUGACUAUCGGUUUACUUUCUUUUAGCUUCUUUAGUAUGUAAUUUCUGUUUAUUUCCUUAGCUUAAGUAUUCAGUGGGCUAAUCAUUUAAGAUAAAAAUAUAGCCCAUGUUUUAAUUAGCUGCCCAUUCCAGCAAAACUGAGCCCAAUAUUCUUUGGAUUGUAGUUGUUUGUUUUUCUUCUUUUCAUUUUCAAUUAAUAAUAUCCUAGCCAAUUUUUUUCAAAAAAAAAAUCAAAUGGACCACAUUUUUUGUGAUGUUUGUUUUCUUUGAAAGUAUUAUUAAUUUUUAGUCAUGUUCUGGUAUACAUGUGAG
This 2148-nucleotide long non-coding RNA is filed under the name Gossypium barbadense (sea-island cotton). RNAcentral describes it as "long non-coding RNA (GBAR_LNC007518)". Lineage: Eukaryota; Viridiplantae; Streptophyta; Magnoliopsida; Malvales; Malvaceae. The record is from RNAcentral.